AAAAAAUUAGUUAAAAUUUAUAUAACAUUAAAAUGUCAAUUUAAAAUUAUUAAUUAUAAUAUUUUUUU
Molecule: transfer RNA, 68 nt
Filed under: Pseudolycoriella hygida
Lineage: Eukaryota; Metazoa; Arthropoda; Insecta; Diptera; Sciaridae
Description: Bradysia hygida tRNA-Asp
Source: RNAcentral